This 775-nucleotide ribosomal RNA is filed under the name uncultured Neocallimastigales. RNAcentral describes it as "partial large subunit ribosomal RNA". It matches the Rfam family "Eukaryotic large subunit ribosomal RNA", at positions 24 to 635 of the family's 3401-position model. The record is from RNAcentral. Lineage: Eukaryota; Fungi; Neocallimastigomycota; Neocallimastigomycetes; Neocallimastigales.
UAUGUGAUCGUCUCUCGCAUAUCAAUAAGCGGAGGAAAAGAAACUAACAAGGAUUCCCCUAGUAACGGCGAGUGAAGCGGGAAGAGCUCAAAUUUGAAAUCUUAAAGGGUUUCCCUUUACGAAUUGUAGUUUAAAGAAGUGUUUUCUGUUGAGGUUUUGGUAAAAGUUCUUUGGAAUAGGACAUCAUAGAGGGUGAGAAUCCCGUAUUUGACCCUUUACUUUCAACUUUGUGAUACACUUUCAAAGAGUCGGAUUGUUUGGGAAUGCAGUCCAAAAUGGGUGGUAAAUUUCAUCUAAAGCUAAAUAUUGGCGAGAGACCGAUAGCGAACAAGUACCGUGAGGGAAAGAUGAAAAGAACUUUGAAAAGAGAGUUAAACAGUACGUGAAAUUGUCAAAAGGGAAGCGUUUGACACCAGUGUUGUUUUUCUGAAAAUCAAUUAAAGAACUGUUUAUGCUAAGCUGUUUAGACUUUAUCAGCUAUCUGUUUAGUUUUGAGCUUUUCUUUAAUGCACUUCUCAGUUAACAAGUCAACAUCAAUUUCUUUUGCUGUAAAAAAGCUUGAGGAAGGUGGCUUGAGAUUCGUCUUAAGUGUUUAUAGCCUCUUGCCUAUGCAGUCGGAGAGAUUGAGGUCUGCAGCGUAGAUCCUUCGGGGCUAAAUGCAUUUGUGCUAAGUUAUAGCAUUUUAUAGACAACUUGUUGACUAUGAUUUGUCUUGUAGCUUACUCGCUUAUGUUAUUUUACCUACGCUUAGGAUGUUGAUCUACAGAGCGAGAGU